This 1026-nucleotide unclassified non-coding RNA is filed under the name Hevea brasiliensis (rubber tree). The record is from RNAcentral. Lineage: Eukaryota; Viridiplantae; Streptophyta; Magnoliopsida; Malpighiales; Euphorbiaceae.
CCAAAAACCACUUGCCUUUUUAUAAUAAUAACAAAAAUAAUAAUUAUAAAAAAAUAUUAAAUAAAUAGUGAGCAACAAUGGGUGCCAACUCCAUCUCCCACUAUCUGCAUGAUUGAUUCAGAAUAUAAUAGUACAUUAUUUUCUAAAAGCAAGUAUAACGAGGAAAAAGCAUUGUAAUAGCCAUGAAUUUGCGUCAUUACCCUUGAAAGAGAAUUAAAUGGUUUAAUUUUCCAUUUGUUGCAUAAUUGAUCUCAGGUACAAAUUUCCUUAGUAGAGUGUUUUAAGUCUUCUUCAUAUAAGAAUGAAAAGAAAAGCUAAUGGAAGAACUGAUUUCUUCCUUAUCUAACCCACUUGAAGAGACCUCAUCAGUGACUCCACUAGAACAUGGUGAAGAAGGUUGAGGAGGGCCCAUAUCAGAGUUUUCUUCCAUUCUAAAUUCCAUGAAACUUGAUCUCAUCACAUCAUGUGUAGUUUGAAUAGUGUUGGUGUUUGAGGGCUGAGAAAUGAUAUUCCCGUGUUUUCUAGGUCUCCUUUUCCUCUGAAAUACUCGGUAGACAACCCAAUCUCCUAAUUUCAUCUUAGCUAUCUGAACAAAAAAUUUUCAAGAACAAAUCCAUUCAUUAGAACUAGAAAUAAAAUGGGUAUUACUCAUAAUAUCACACGAACUUCAAUAUGGAUAAUUGCUGAUCAUCUGAACUGUUUAAUCUUAUAUUAUACCUGGGUUAUGUUAGGGAUUGUUCCUGAGCCUACAAGGCGAUAUUCAUGCAUGAUCCAUUGAGUUUUAGAGUCGUUAGAAUGCUUCCCCUCGCAGAAAAUCAGAGUUUUCCUCGUUCCAAUUACGUGGUUGCUCAAAGAAGCAACAAUUUGUCUGUCUUUGCCAAUAGGCUUCCAGUAACCAGAAGCAGCAGCUCUCUUGCAUCUGUUUUCACUGUCAUUUCCCCAUUUUCUGCCAAAGAAGUACCUCUUUUCCUUCAAAUCACCUGUCAAGCUCCAAGGAUCAUGUUGGAAUACAUCAAGCUCAGGAAU